Syngnathus acus (greater pipefish) is the source of this 2523-nucleotide long non-coding RNA. RefSeq lists it as uncharacterized. The record is from RefSeq and is a predicted model, not a curated record. Lineage: Eukaryota; Metazoa; Chordata; Actinopteri; Syngnathiformes; Syngnathidae. The transcript is spliced from 2 exons.
CAAUGGGUUACAUACUGGUGGUCCUGUUGUCCGUCAGGCCACACGAGGAAUCGCCAUCUUCUGGGAGAGGCCUGAGGAGAUACGCAACUUAAUGGACACAACAUUAGGACAUUCAAGCGGUUACCUGGGGAAGUCCUCAUCCUGCCACUCGUCCUUCACCUCCAUGCUGUCCAUGCGUAAAGUGGCCUCGGCUGUCCCCAUGGCGUCUGCAGCUUGGUUGAGAAUUGGCUCGCUGAGUUUGAAAAAUACACAAAUUGGCAUUGAUCGUAAUGAGCUAUAUUCAACGAUCGUUUUCAAUGUUUAAAAUUUAUAUCUUUGAUACAUUUUAUGACAGUCAACAAGAUUGUAUUUGAUAGUAGACUGCAUAUGCGUCAAUAAUGUGCAUAUAAGGGGAGAGGGCAGAGUUUAUUGUACAGUCCAUUUGUUCACUGGUUUGAAAAUGAUGUGACACACACACACACACGGACGCACACGCACUCACAGGAAACAAAAAACAACAGCAGCUAUAUGACUAAAAGGCCUUCUGGCAACAAAAUCCUGCCCACGUUGUGAUCAGAUUCAAAAUGGAGGUGGAGAAUUGCAUUUUGUAGCUCGUUAAGGGGAUCAGGGGCCAAAGGUUAAAAGAAACCAUGAUCGCUAACAUGGCUCGCAGCGGGAGAAUGAUGACGACAAUAUGUCAAUAGAGCAAUGCUGAGUGACGCUCAAAGCAAAAUUCAAUAAACAGCCAUUAAAGAAAAAAAAAAAACACGCAGGACUGCAAGAUAAGGUCAGUUUGGAUGCAUGUGACUUUUCAUAAUCUGCAAGGUUCAAUAAAAGGCUUUAAUGUUUAUCAAACCAUGGAGGUGAACUUCACUGAACACUCCAAAACAUAUUUAUGAAAAUGUGUAUCGUCUUAAGUGAAACUUCUCUGAUCAGCUGUUCAAACACAACAAACGACAUCGGCGCCCAUUCAAGCGGGCUGCUGCGUGCGUUUACUCACUUAGAAGACAAGCGCCCGUGUGAUGCGAUGACAACAAUGCGCCUUCAAAGACGGCCGAGCAUCCCCGGCAGGCGUCUGGGAGCGGUCCUUUUUACAAGCGGGAACGGCCAGCUGUUAAAUCCAUGCUAGCUGACAUCUCUACUUGUUGGAUGACCUCCCACAAAAAAGAGCAGGAAAAAAAAUCCUUCUGUUUGUCACCUCUGCGUAGUAUCCUCUCUGCUAAAGCCACGCCUCCUGUAAUCCUGCAAUGAUGAUGUCAUCCAUAUGCUGGUUAUGUAAUCAAACCAGCCUCCUCUUUAGAACCGAAUGGCUCCAGGAUAGCACGUUUCUCCCUUCUCUUCUUCGUCACGUUCCUUCAAUUCAUCAUCGGGAGUGUUUAUUUUUAAUAUGUACUCACGCACUGGCCAGUGUGGAGGUUUCCACUCUGCUGUUUCUAGGCAACCGUAUCCUCCUCUUCAUCCUCCCUCGGCAUCCCUUUUAAGCUCUCUCACUCUUCCUGCUGCCGCACGUUAACAUUCUUCCUCUGGCUCACCCGCCCUUCUUUCAUCACGAUGCACUAAGCUCUCAGGGCAGUGAGUUAGUGUGGCCUUCCUUUGUUUGAAACAAAGUGCUUUUUUCAAGGCUUGUCAUGUCCUAAUGCCUGCGUUGCUGUAAUUGACAACAAAAUGACAUGAAUUAAAAACAAAUGUAAAUACGUUUUGAAAAUUAAAACAUUCAGCCCGAACAAUGAAGAAAAAAAAAAAAAAACAUUGAACCUAAAAACAAUAUAAAAAAAUGUAAUUCAACAGAGUGUCUGCAUAGACAGCACCGCUUUGAAGUCGCCACUGGAGGGCGCUCUGCUACGAGUGAAGUUGUAAAGGGCCCACUGUCCAAAGCUGCUGGCUAAUGUUUCCUUUCCAAUGUCCCACCCUGCCUCCGUUAAAUCAGUUAGUGAAGAUUCCAACAAAAGAGAUGCUGUCGACACUUUUGCCGAGGUGUAGCGGAGUGUGAAGACAAACUAUGACCUAAAUGUGCAUUAAGCGUGGAUUAGCACACACGAUUAGAUGAACUCGCCCUAAGAAAGCACACACACACGCAAACACACACACACACACACACACACACACACACACACACACACACACACACACACACACACACACACACACACACACACACACACACACACACACACACGAUGUGCAUGGGCCACUAGGGGUCAGUAUAAUACACACAUACAUACAUACAUACAUACAUACAUACUCCACGUACUUUAGGGAUGACACAGAAGUUGCAAUAAUGUUGAAGUGCAAAUAACAGACAAAUAAUAUAUUGACUGAGUAUUGUGAUAUUAUCUGUCUACAUGUGUUGCACCACCGGUUGUCUUUAAGUAUAACUUUAAAGGUUUGCGGCCACAAUAUACCUCCACCUCUGCAUACCUGUCGGCUGCCUCAGAUCAGUGGACCAGAUGUUACUUUUUUUUACUUUAUGAACGGCAUUUUCUACACAGCUGUGGUUGUUUCAAAGAGCUCCAGAAAUAAAGUUGAGUUGAGGAGUCUGUCCAA